GACGAACGCUGGCGGCGUGCUUAACACAUGCCAGUCGAACGGUGAAGCGCUUUCCUUUUUGGUUGGUGUGGAUGAGUGGCGAACGGGUGAGUAACACGUGAGUAACCUGCCCCCUUCUUCUGGAUAACCGCAUGAAAGUGUGGCUAAUACGGGAUAUUCUGCGCCUGCUGCAUGGUGGGUGUGGGAAAGAUUGUGCCUUUGGGUGUUUUCGGUGGGGGAUGGGCUCGCGGCCUAUCAGCUUGUUGGUGGGGUGAUGGCCUACCAAGGCGGUGACGGGUAGCCGGCCUGAGAGGGUGGACGGUCACACUGGGACUGAGACACGGCCCAGACUCCUACGGGAGGCAGCAGUGGGGAAUAUUGCACAAUGGGCGCAAGCCUGAUGCAGCGACGCCGCGUGAGGGAGGGAGGCCUUCGGGGUGUGAACCUCUUUCGCCAGUGAAGCAGGCCUGCUCCUUGUGGGUGGGUUGACGGUAGCUGGAUAAGAAGCGCCGGCUAACUACGUG
Molecule: ribosomal RNA, 503 nt
Filed under: uncultured bacterium
Lineage: Bacteria
Description: partial 16S ribosomal RNA
Rfam family: Bacterial small subunit ribosomal RNA
Source: RNAcentral